This 627-nucleotide long non-coding RNA is filed under the name Heterocephalus glaber (naked mole-rat). RNAcentral describes it as "lncRNA (ENSHGLG00000040993.1)". Lineage: Eukaryota; Metazoa; Chordata; Mammalia; Rodentia; Bathyergidae. The record is from RNAcentral.
AGACUGGAAAGUGGAUCCAAAGCCCAUGGUGAGAAUCCCUGUAGGGAGAGCUGAGCAUGCACCUCCACCAUCCUUCCACAGCAGUAGCAAAGAGUCAGAGAAUUACUUGGACCACCUGACGGGGAGUUUGAGGAGCAGAGAGAAUGGUACCUGCAUUCUCCUGGCCUGGCACUGUGAGUCACUGAAUCUUCAGAGAGCUUCAGAACCCCGUCAGGCAGAGCCUUCGUCUCAAGAAUUCCUCACAAUUUGACCUUCGGGCAGCGUUCACGAUAUCUGCCCUGAACUUAGCCCAGAACUGAAAAUGUACUCAGCAGAGGCUUAGGGUGAGAAAGCAGAUUCGUUUUGGGACUCAAUGCACCAGAAAUUUAUGACAGAAUUAAAAAGUCUCUGAAGAAAACUCAGUUAAAAGAAAAUCAGCUUUAUAAUUUUAUAUUUGAGUGGGAAAAAUAUUAAAUAGAAGUGAUUAACAGGAAUAUUUGGCACACAUAUUGUUUAUUCUGGUUCUUAUUAACUACAUGCCAAAAUGGCAUAUAUAAAAGUAGAAUUUAAGGAAUUUUAUAUCAGAGAUUUAUAGAUUUUUAUAUCAAAAGAUUUGUAUCAGCCCCAGUACUUCCCAGGAAAUUAAUA